This 254-nucleotide ribosomal RNA is filed under the name uncultured bacterium. RNAcentral describes it as "partial 16S ribosomal RNA". It matches the Rfam family "Bacterial small subunit ribosomal RNA", at positions 524 to 776 of the family's 1533-position model. The record is from RNAcentral.
UACGUAGGGUGCGAGCGUUGUCCGGAAUUACUGGGCGUAAAGAGCUCGUAGGCGGCUUGUCGCGUCGAAUGUGAAAACUCGGGGCUCAACCCCGCGCUUGCAUUCGAUACGGGCAGGCUCGAGUUCGGUAGGGGAGACUGGAAUUCCUGGUGUAGCGGUGAAAUGCGCAGAUAUCAGGAGGAACACCGGUGGCGAAGGCGGGUCUCUGGGCCGUAACUGGACGCUGAGGAGCGAAAGCGUGGGGAGCGAACAGG